GGCAACGUGGCUCAGCUGGUAGAGCACUUGCCUGAUGUGCAUGAGGUCCUGAGUUUAAUCCCUAGCAUUGCAA
This 73-nucleotide transfer RNA is filed under the name Cricetulus griseus (Chinese hamster). It matches the Rfam family "tRNA". From Rfam's summary of the family: Transfer RNA (tRNA) molecules are approximately 80 nucleotides in length. Lineage: Eukaryota; Metazoa; Chordata; Mammalia; Rodentia; Cricetidae. The record is from Rfam by way of RNAcentral.